UACAGAGGUGGCAAGCGUUGUUCGGAAUUACUGGGCGUAAAGCGCACGUAGGCGGCUCUGCAAGUCGGUUGUGAAAUCCCCGGGCUCAACCUGGGAACUGCGACCGAGACUGCAUUGCUAGAGUAUGGGAGAGGAAAGCGGAAUUUCUGGUGUAGCAGUGAAAUGCGUAGAUAUCAGAAGGAACAUCAGUGGCGAAGGCGGCUUUCUGGACCAAUACUGACGCUCAGGUGCGAAAGCGUGGGAAGCAAACAGG
This 253-nucleotide ribosomal RNA is filed under the name uncultured bacterium. Its description in RNAcentral is "partial 16S ribosomal RNA". It matches the Rfam family "Bacterial small subunit ribosomal RNA", at positions 524 to 776 of the family's 1533-position model. The record is from RNAcentral.